RNAcentral lists this ribosomal RNA (444 nucleotides) under uncultured bacterium. RNAcentral describes it as "partial 16S ribosomal RNA". It matches the Rfam family "Bacterial small subunit ribosomal RNA", at positions 338 to 795 of the family's 1533-position model. The record is from RNAcentral.
CCUACGGGGGGCAGCAGUGGGGAAUAUUGGGCAAUGGAGGAAACUCUGACCCAGCAACGCCGCGUGAAUGAUGAAGGUCUUCGGAUUGUAAAGUUCUUUUCUAAGGGAAGAAGAAAGUGACGGUACCAAAGGAAUAAGCCCCGGCUAACUACGUGCCAGCAGCCGCGGUAAUACGUAGGGGGCAAGCGUUGUUCGGAAUGACUGGGCGUAAAGGGUGUGUAGGUGGUUUGAUAAGUUAGAUGUGUAAUACCCAGGGCUUAACUCGGGUGCUGCAUCUAAAACUGUUAGACUUGAGUACUGGAGAGGAUAGUGGAAUUCCUAGUGUAGCGGUGGAAUGCGUAGAUAUUAGGAGGAACAUCAGUGGCGAAGGCGACUAUCUGGACAGCAACUGACACUGAGGCACGAAAGCGUGGGGAGCAAACAGGAUUAGAUACCCCUGUAGUC